UGCCAGGUGCUUGCCACUGGUCCUGGC
This 27-nucleotide non-coding RNA is filed under the name Homo sapiens (human). Lineage: Eukaryota; Metazoa; Chordata; Mammalia; Primates; Hominidae. The record is from RNAcentral.